GACAGAGGUGGCUAGCGUUGUUCGGAUUCAUUGGGUGUAAAGGGUGCGUAGGCGGUUUGGAAAGUCAGAUGUGAAAUCCUACAGCUCAACUGUAGAACUGCAUUUGAAACUCCCAGGCUAGAGUGCGAGAGAGGUGAAGGGAAUUCCCGGUGUAAGGGUGAAAUCUGCAGAGAUCGGGAAGAACACCAGUAGCGAAGGCGCUUCACUGGCUCGCAACUGACGCUGAGUGCACGAAGGCGUGGGGAGCAAACGGGAUUAGAUACCCCGGUAGUCCACGCAGUAAACGAUGUUCACUAGGUGUUGGUUUCGUUUAUUCGAGAUCGGCGCCGACGCUAACGCAUUAAGUGAACCACCUGGGGAGUACACUCGCAAGGGUGAA
This 379-nucleotide ribosomal RNA is filed under the name uncultured bacterium. RNAcentral's name for it is "bacterial SSU rRNA". It matches the Rfam family "Bacterial small subunit ribosomal RNA", at positions 524 to 898 of the family's 1533-position model. The record is from RNAcentral.